Molecule: transfer RNA, 68 nt
Filed under: Marmota monax (woodchuck)
Lineage: Eukaryota; Metazoa; Chordata; Mammalia; Rodentia; Sciuridae
Description: tRNA.Ala
Source: RNAcentral
GGCUUGUAGCACAGUGAUAGAGUGCUUGCCUAGCAUGCAUGAGGUACUGGGUUCAAUCCUCAGCACUA